GAUGAACGCUGGCGGCGUGCCUAAUACAUGCAAGUCGAGCGAACGGACGAGAAGCUUGCUUCUCUGAUGUUAGCGGCGGACGGGUGAGUAACACGUGGAUAACCUACCUAUAAGACUGGGAUAACUUCGGGAAACCGGAGCUAAUACCGGAUAAUAUUUUGAACCGCAUGGUUCAAAAGUGAAAGACGGUCUUGCUGUCACUUAUAGAUGGAUCCGCGCUGCAUUAGCUAGUUGGUAAGGUAACGGCUUACCAAGGCAACGAUGCAUAGCCGACCUGAGAGGGGGAUCGGCCACACGGGAACGGAGACACGGUCAAGACUCCUACGGGAGGCAGCAGUAGGGAAUCUUCCGAAAGGGGCGAAAGCCUGACGGAGCAACGCCGCGUGAGUGAUGAAGGUCUUCGUAUCGUAAAACUCUGUUAUGGGGGAAGAACAUAUGUGUAAGUAACUGUGCACAUCUUGAGGGUACCUAAUCAGAAAGCCACGGCUAACUACG
Molecule: ribosomal RNA, 495 nt
Filed under: uncultured bacterium
Lineage: Bacteria
Description: partial 16S ribosomal RNA
Rfam family: Bacterial small subunit ribosomal RNA
Source: RNAcentral